This 241-nucleotide ribosomal RNA is filed under the name uncultured bacterium. RNAcentral's name for it is "partial 16S ribosomal RNA". It matches the Rfam family "Bacterial small subunit ribosomal RNA", at positions 1258 to 1500 of the family's 1533-position model. The record is from RNAcentral.
UGAGGCGGAGCAAACACAAAACACAGUCUCAGUUCAGAUUGUAGGCUGAAACUCGCCUAUAUGAAGUCGGAAUUGCUAGUAAUCGCGGAUCAGCAUGCCGCGGUGAAUACGUUCCCGGGCCUUGUACACACCGCCCGUCACACCAUGAGAGUCGAUAACACCCGAAGCCUGUAGUCUAACAGCAAUGAGGACGCAGUCGAAGGUGGGAUUGAUAAUUAGGGUGAAGUCGUAACAAGGUACC